GCCAGACUCCUACGGGAGGCAGCAGUGGGGGAUAUUGCACAAUGGGGGGAACCCUGAUGCAGCGACGCCGCGUGGGUGAAGGAGCGUUUCGGCGCGUAAAGCCCUAUCGGCAGGGAAGAAGGAGGACGGUACCUGACUAAGAAGCCCCGGCUAACUACGUGCCAGCAGCCGCGGUAAUACGUAGGGGGCAAGCGUUAUCCGGAUUUACUGGGUGUAAAGGGGGCGCAGACGGCAGCGCAAGCCAGGGGUGAAAGCCCGGGGCCCAACCCCGGGACUGCUCUUGGAACUGCGCGGCUGGAGUGCAGGAGGGGCAGGCGGAAUUCCUGGUGUAGCGGUGAAAUGCGUAGAUAUCAGGAGGAACACCGGUGGCGAAGGCGGCCUGCUGGACUGCGACUGACGUUGAGGCCCGAAAGCGUGGGGAGCAAACAGGAUUAGAUACCCUUGUAU
RNAcentral lists this ribosomal RNA (447 nucleotides) under uncultured bacterium. RNAcentral's name for it is "bacterial SSU rRNA". It matches the Rfam family "Bacterial small subunit ribosomal RNA", at positions 330 to 793 of the family's 1533-position model. The record is from RNAcentral.